This 1575-nucleotide ribosomal RNA is filed under the name Acinetobacter baumannii. RNAcentral describes it as "partial 23S ribosomal RNA". It matches the Rfam family "Bacterial large subunit ribosomal RNA", at positions 1371 to 2925 of the family's 2925-position model. Lineage: Bacteria; Pseudomonadati; Pseudomonadota; Gammaproteobacteria; Moraxellales; Moraxellaceae. The record is from RNAcentral.
GGGGCUGGGUGAGUCGACCCCUAAGGCGAGGCCGAAAGGCGUAGUCGAUGGGAAAAUGGUUAAUAUUCCAUUACUUCUGUGUAAUGCGAUGAGAGGACGGAGAAGGCUAAAUCAGCCUGGCGUUGGUUGUCCAGGUGAAAGGAUGUAGGCAUGUAUCUUAGGCAAAUCCGGGGUACUCUAUGCUGAGAUCUGAUAGCAAGCUGUACUUGUACAGCGAAGUGGUUGAUGCCAUGCUUCCAGGAAAAGUCUCUAAGCUUCAGUUACACAGGAAUCGUACCCGAAACCGACACAGGUGGUCAGGUCGAGUAGACCAAGGCGCUUGAGAGAACUCUGCUGAAGGAACUAGGCAAAAUGGUACCGUAACUUCGGGAGAAGGUACGCUGUUGUUGGUGAUGGAACUCGCUUCCUGAGCUGACGACAGCCGCAGAAACCAGGCCGCUGCAACUGUUUAUUAAAAACAUAGCACUCUGCAAACACGAAAGUGGACGUAUAGGGUGUGAUGCCUGCCCGGUGCUGGAAGGUUAAUUGAUGGGGUUAGCGUAAGCGAAGCUCUUGAUCGAAGCCCCAGUAAACGGCGGCCGUAACUAUAACGGUCCUAAGGUAGCGAAAUUCCUUGUCGGGUAAGUUCCGACCUGCACGAAUGGCAUAAUGAUGGCGGCGCUGUCUCCAGCAGAGGCUCAGUGAAAUCGAAAUCGCUGUGAAGAUGCAGUGUACCCGCGGCUAGACGGAAAGACCCCGUGAACCUUUACUGCAGCUUGACACUGAACUUUGACCUUACUUGUGUAGGAUAGGUGGGAGGCUUUGAAGCUGGAACGCUAGUUCCAGUGGAGCCGUCCUUGAAAUACCACCCUGGUAAUGUUGAGGUUCUAACUCUGUCCCGUGAUCCGGGACGAGGACCGUGUCUGGUGGGUAGUUUGACUGGGGCGGUCUCCUCCUAAAGAGUAACGGAGGAGUACGAAGGUGCGCUCAGCGUGGUCGGAAAUCACGCGUAGAGUAUAAAGGCAAAAGCGCGCUUAACUGCGAGACCCACAAGUCGAGCAGGUACGAAAGUAGGUCUUAGUGAUCCGGUGGUUCUGUAUGGAAGGGCCAUCGCUCAACGGAUAAAAGGUACUCUGGGGAUAACAGGCUGAUACCGCCCAAGAGUUCAUAUCGACGGCGGUGUUUGGCACCUCGAUGUCGGCUCAUCUCAUCCUGGGGCUGAAGCAGGUCCCAAGGGUAUGGCUGUUCGCCAUUUAAAGAGGUACGCGAGCUGGGUUUAGAACGUCGUGAGACAGUUCGGUCCCUAUCUACCGUGGGCGCUGGAAAUUUGAGAGGAUCUGCUCCUAGUACGAGAGGACCAGAGUGGACGAACCUCUGGUGUACCGGUUGUGACGCCAGUCGCAUCGCCGGGUAGCUAUGUUCGGAAGGGAUAACCGCUGAAAGCAUCUAAGCGGGAAGCCUACCUCAAGAUAAGAUUUCCCUAGGACUUUAUGUCCUCUAAAGAGCCGUUCGAGACUAGGACGUUGAUAGGUUGGAUGUGGAAGCAUAGUGAUAUGUGAAGCUGACCAAUACUAAUUGCUCGUGAGGCUUGACUAU